CAGACAGGGUUGGCGUAGCUGUUAACAAACCUCCUAACCAUUCAGACAGGGUUGGUGUAGCUGUUAACAAGCCUCCUAACCAUUCGUACAGGGUUGGCGUAGCUGUUAACAAGCCUCCUAACCGUUCAGACAGGGUUGGCGUAGCUGUUAACAAGCCUCCUAACCAUUCAGACAGGGUUGGCAUAGCUGUUAACCAGCCUCCUAACCAUUCAGACAGGGUUGGUGGUUGGUGUGCAGCUGAGUCUUAUUUACAGCCAGGCUGCUAAACAGCCCCGAGGGAGAGGGGAUGAGCCCUGAUGACAUGCAAGGAGAUUGCGCUCAGAGAAAGGGACCGUCUUAACAAGCCAGAGAGGAUGAAUAAAAAAGGAAAGCAGAGGGUUCUCUCUCAGCUCUUUUGUCCACCGAUGCAGAAAAAAGCCUUGAGCUGAAAAAGUGAUUAAGGACCACCAACAAUUAAAGGCUGCGGCUGCAGAAGACUUACAGCUCAUUGCAGAAGGUCCUUGUGGCCUUCAGGAGGAGGGUGUUGUUGCCUGCUUUACAGGCACUUUGCCCUGGUCUCUGCAGCCAUGCAGGAUGCAGCUCGGAUCCUCCAGUCAGGUGAGUCUAGACUAGAUGAUGCCCUCUGUGACCAUUCAACCCUGCCAUGAGGCUGCCGUGCACCUCCACACCUUAGUGGCCCGUUUGUGCACGCUGGUUAGAGCAGUAUUGGCGGCCUCAGUGUCAUGCCCAAAUAAUAAAGGCCUCAAUAUGGCCUCGUCUACCCCCAAUUAAUGUGAUAGCAUAGUUAUGCUUAAUUUGAAAGCAUUGAUUUAGUACCACUCUCUUUACUCUGACCAAUGUUUUGAUGGGAAAUUAUGUGGUUUAAUGCAUUUCUGUCGGAAGGCAAAGCCUGCCUGGUAGCUGUGGGCUGCAGCUUGUCUGUUCAAUGCUUUGGAGACUGACAGAAAGACUGCUUUACAGCUAACAUGCACCCAAAUUCAUACAUCACUAUAGCACCACAGGCAGAGCAGAGCAGCCCGUAUACAAGCAGAAUACUUCCUGCUCAAAACAGUGCACUGAAUAAAGUAUCUAGAGCAAGGCCUCUCAUUUGUGCUGCAGUAUAGCAUAUGUGUAAAAGAAACCUCUCCAACAGAGUUGUCUGUCUGAUUCAACCUCUCCAAGCAGGAAGUGUGUUUUUGUUCCAUACGGACUCAAACUGUUGACUUUGAUAUCUCCCAGCACAAAGUAAUCUUUAAAUCAAAGCCCCGCGGGUAGGUAGAUGAAGGCUCUGCCGUGUCAACACAUUUAGGAUGUCUGUGGAGUGAGAUUAUCCAGUUUGUGAUGAUUUGAACGCUCGUCAAUGUCUGCAAAUUAAAGGUUAUUUUAAGCUCCAGAUUAGCAUUUUUCCGCACCUCAUUAGGUAAGGAGAUGAGUUGAUCAGAUGACUGGGAGAAUCAGAGAAUCCCACUUAGUCACUGUGAAGUAAGCCUCCUUGUACUAGACUGCACUAUCUACCUUAAUUCUUUAGAAACAAACACACAACCUGUUACAAUGGACCGUUUCACUCUCUCUCCUGACGAUAGACAUUUGUUAAUAAACAGUCACAUACCCAGUUGUUUCUGUGCUGGAAAAUGCAACCAAGCCUAACUGAUGAUAUUAGUCUAAGCAGGCCAACAACAGCAAAUGCGUCUCUUCAUUUGAAUGAGUUUCCCUCUGCAAAUUCAACAACAUUUUGUUCAGGCCUGUAAUUGUCUUUAUUUCCGUGCAGAAGCAUCAGGUGAGUGAGAGAGUGAGUGUGGGUAAUAAGGCUCUCGUUGAUAAACUGUAAAGCUACAGUAAUGCAGCCUGGCUGGUGUACGUCUGAGAGGGCACCACACGUUUCCUCCCAGCAUUACUGCGCACAGCUAAUUCAUUUGUCAGGAUAAGGCAAGUGAAAAUGUGUGCUCUAAUUUGAGGCACUUAAUUUAAACGGCCGUGAAAGCAAACUUUGGUAGAUAUUAGGAAAACAAACUAAUUAAUGUCUUGGGGGAGCGGCAGGUUAAGACCUUGAAGGAAAUGUUAUCCUGGGGGUAAAUAUUUGAACUGCCCUCUGCCAGGGCAGACUGGGAUAAAAAUUCAGCCCUGGCAUUUCAGCCUCACUGCGCGCG
This 2126-nucleotide long non-coding RNA is filed under the name Salmo salar (Atlantic salmon). RNAcentral describes it as "lncRNA (ENSSSAG00000086527.1)". The record is from RNAcentral. Lineage: Eukaryota; Metazoa; Chordata; Actinopteri; Salmoniformes; Salmonidae.